GUGGGGAAUAUUGGACAAUGGGCGAAAGCCUGAUCCAGCCAUGCCGCGUGUGUGAAGAAGGUCUCCGGAUUGUAAAGCACUUUAAGUUGGGAGGAAGGGCAGUAAGUUAAUACCUUGCUGUUUUGACGUUACCGACAGAAUAAGCACCGGCUAACUUCGUGCCAGCAGCCGCGGUAAUACGAAGGGUGCAAGCGUUAAUCGGAAUUACUGGGCGUAAAGCGCGCGUAGGUGGUUUUGUAAGUUGGAGGUGAAAUCCCCGGGCUCAACCUGGGAACUGCCUCCAAAACUGCAUGACUAGAGUACGGUAGAGGGUAGUGGAAUUUCCUGUGUAGCGGUGAAAUGCGUAGAUAUAGGAAGGAACACCAGUGGCGAAGGCGACUACCUGGACUGAUACUGACACUGAGGUGCGAAAGCGUGGGGAGCAAACAGGAUUAGAAACCCCAGUAGUCC
Molecule: ribosomal RNA, 450 nt
Filed under: uncultured bacterium
Lineage: Bacteria
Description: partial 16S ribosomal RNA
Rfam family: Bacterial small subunit ribosomal RNA
Source: RNAcentral